Molecule: ribosomal RNA, 428 nt
Filed under: uncultured bacterium
Lineage: Bacteria
Description: partial 16S ribosomal RNA
Rfam family: Bacterial small subunit ribosomal RNA
Source: RNAcentral
UAGGGAAUCUUCCACAAUGGACGCAAGUCUGAUGGAGCAACGCCGCGUGAGUGAAGAAGGUUUUCGGACCGUAAAGCUCUGUUGUUGGUGAAGAAGGAUAGAGGUAGUAACUGGCCUUUAUUUGACGGUAAUCAACCAGAAAGUCACGGCUAACUACGUGCCAGCAGCCGCGGUAAUACGUAGGUGGCAAGCGUUGUCCGGAUUUAUUGGGCGUAAAGCGAGCGCAGGCGGAAGAAUAAGUCUGAUGUGAAAGCCCUCGGCUUAACCGAGGAAUUGCAUCGGAAACUGUUUUCUUGAGUGCAGAAGAGGAGAGUAGAACUCCAUGUGUAGCGGUGGAAUGCGUAGAUAUAUGGAAGAAUACCAGUGGCGAAGGCGGCUCUCUGGUCUGCAAACUGACGCUGAGGCUCGAAAGCAUGGGUAGCGAACAG